UACGAAGGGUGCAAACGUUGCUCGGAAUUAUUGGGCGUAAAGCGCACGUAGGCGGCAUUGCAAGUCGGAUGUGAAAUCUUAUGGCUUAACCAUAAAAGUGCAUCCGAAACUGCAGUGCUUGAGUACUUAAGAGGAUCGCGGAAUUCCCGGUGUAGAGGUGAAAUUCGUAGAUAUCGGGAGGAACACCAGUGGCGAAGGCGGCGAUCUGGGAAGAUACUGACGCUGAGGUGCGAAAGCGUGGGGAGCGAACAGG
RNAcentral lists this ribosomal RNA (253 nucleotides) under uncultured bacterium. RNAcentral describes it as "partial 16S ribosomal RNA". It matches the Rfam family "Bacterial small subunit ribosomal RNA", at positions 524 to 776 of the family's 1533-position model. The record is from RNAcentral.